GCAGGGGUCACGUUCUGCACACGCAAGGUCACCCACACAGCUCCCCCACUGAGUGUGUGGAAAGUUUGAAAACCAGUACAGUUUGAAUCACAGCACUAUGUACAACUACACGCAGCAGCACAGGUACAUGGCAGAAUACAAAACAGUGAAUAUUUGUAUGAAAUAAGUGCCUCACUUCUGCCUGUAAGCAAAGAUCAACUGCCAGUAUUAUAUACUGUGUUACUGUGAGCUUGAACAUACUAUAGUAGGGAGGCAUGUUAAGUUUUCUGGAUGAUGAAUACUGGACAGAGUGGAUCGAGUCAUGCUGAAUGGAUCUUGCAGUACGUCUGUAAAACAGUACUCUAUGUACCGCUUUCCCGACUUAAUUUCCACCAAUGAUGUUGGUACAUGUGAAGAA
Long non-coding RNA from Patiria miniata (bat star), 397 nucleotides. RefSeq lists it as uncharacterized. The transcript is spliced from 2 exons. NCBI's taxonomy places the organism in Eukaryota, Metazoa, Echinodermata, Asteroidea, Valvatida, Asterinidae. The record is from RefSeq and is a predicted model, not a curated record.